UAGAUUAGAAAAAAAUCAAGUCUAACUCGCUCCGUUCAUCGCCUCUUAUCGAUAAAGAUCCGGUGCAUGUCAAAGAUUAAAAAACAAGCAUACGCCUCCACGCAUAGCUUCAACAGAAUGCGAUACUUGCGUAGGCCAAAUGAUGCCAGCACACCGUAAUAGCAGCAGUUUUUAUUUAUUUAUAUGUUUUUUUUAUGAAUUAUACAUGUAUCUAUCACUACGUAUGUAUACAUUAGCCGGGAUUUUAUUUAUUAAUGAUGGUUCGUUGAACUGCCUUAAUCAAACUUUUUUUUUUUUAAA
Molecule: long non-coding RNA, 300 nt
Organism: Glossina fuscipes
Lineage: Eukaryota; Metazoa; Arthropoda; Insecta; Diptera; Glossinidae
Exons: 3
Source: RefSeq, a predicted model, not a curated record